Molecule: long non-coding RNA, 1043 nt
Organism: Meriones unguiculatus (Mongolian gerbil)
Lineage: Eukaryota; Metazoa; Chordata; Mammalia; Rodentia; Muridae
Exons: 4
Source: RefSeq, a predicted model, not a curated record
CUCUUUCUCUUCUGGAAAGCCACCAGGAACACAAAGGUGAAGAAAAAAGACUGUGAGGAAGAGAACGGAGCCCACAGAUUGAAACCAGAGAGACCUUUAGGAUCAGCACCUGCUCCCAGAAUCCUCCAGGCUAGCCAGGAAGCCCCAUGCUCUUCAAAGGUUCCUGGCUAUCCAGCUGACAGAAAUGCAAGAGUCACUGCCAUGAGAGUCCUCCUGUCUUCCCAGUCUGCAGACAACACAGCAAAUAACAUCUUUCCCCUUCUCGGUUUGGACUGCUAAUGUGAUUGCAAGAGCAUAGUGAAAUGGACCUGAAGACAUCAGAAGACAAGAGCCGGAGAGAUGGCAAAACAUCUGCAUAGUCCCUAACCUGCUCUGCAGUCCCAGGAAUCAGUGAAGUACCGUGGCAAACAGCAUCCCAUGACUGAAGGACAAGCCAGGCCUGAUGGAUACUCCCCCAACCGUGAAGUAGCCACACACCCCGACUACUCACUACGGGAGACUUUGGUGAGAUUUGUGAAUGUCGUUCUACAAAAUUCUCUCCUGUUUGACUCAGUACCAGGUGUGGGUGAGUUAUAGCUGUGCGGGGACAGCUGGUGGCCUGAGACCAGCAUCAUGUAUGUCAGCCAGUAGCCUUGUGACAAGCUGGCUUUGACCCCAAUUUGAGGCCAGGAAGGAGGAGACACACGCACAAACACACUCAUUCACUCAAACACAUGUGCAUACAUACUCAAACACACAUACUCUUACACACACUCAACACAAACCCACAUAUAUACCCUAUAUACACACUCACACACACAUACACACACACACACACACACACAUACACACACACACACACAUACUCACACACACAUGCCCAAACACACACACAAAUUCAGAGUUAAACAUCAUGGCACAAGAGUGAACUACUCACCAAUGCUGGAACAAGAACAGAAAAAUUGCCCAAAUCUGAUUUGUUUUCCCAGACUUGAGAAUAAACUGUUAAUAAACUAGAAAACAAAUCUCCUGGUAGCAAACAUCCCAUCAAUUAAAAGCCUGGA